GGGUUGUGAGGUUAAGCGACUAAGCGUACACGGUGGAUGCCCUGGCAGUCAGAGGCGAUGAAGGACGUGCUAAUCUGCGAUAAGCGCCGGUAAGGUGAUAUGAACCGUUAUAACCGGCGAUUUCCGAAUGGGGAAACCCAGUGUGAUUCGUCACACUAUCAUUAACUGAAUCCAUAGGUUAAUGAGGCGAACCGGGGGAACUGAAACAUCUAAGUACCCCGAGGAAAAGAAAUCAACCGAGAUUCCCCCAGUAGCGGCGAGCGAACGGGGAGGAGCCCAGAGCCUGAAUCAGCAUGUGUGUUAGUGGAAGCGUCUGGAAAGGCGCGCGAUACAGGGUGACAGCCCCGUACACAAAAGCGCAUGUGCUGUGAGCUCGAUGAGUAGGGCGGGACACGUGGUAUCCUGUCUGAAUAUGGGGGGACCAUCCUCCAAGGCUAAAUACUCCUGACUGACCGAUAGUGAACCAGUACCGUGAGGGAAAGGCGAAAAGAACCCCGGCGAGGGGAGUGAAAAAGAACCUGAAACCGUGUACGUACAAGCAGUGGGAGCACAGGUUUACCUGUGUGACUGCGUACCUUUUGUAUAAUGGGUCAGCGACUUAUAUUCUGUAGCAAGGUUAACCGUAUAGGGGAGCCGUAGGGAAACCGAGUCUUAACCGGGCGUUAAGUUGCAGGGUAUAGACCCGAAACCCGGUGAUCUAGCCAUGGGCAGGUUGAAGGUUGGGUAACACUAACUGGAGGACCGAACCGACUAAUGUUGAAAAAUUAGCGGAUGACCUGUGGCUGGGGGUGAAAGGCCAAUCAAACCGGGAGAUAGCUGGUUCUCCCCGAAAGCUAUUUAGGUAGCGCCUCGUGAAUUCAUCUCCGGGGGUAGAGCACUGUUUCGGCUAGGGGGCCAUCCCGGCUUACCAACCCGAUGCAAACUGCGAAUACCGGAGAAUGUUAUCACGGGAGACACACGGCGGGUGCUAACGUCCGUCGUGAAGAGGGAAACAACCCAGACCGCCAGCUAAGGUCCCAAAGUCAUGGUUAAGUGGGAAACGAUGUGGGAAGGCCCAGACAGCCAGGAUGUUGGCUUAGAAGCAGCCAUCAUUUAAAGAAAGCGUAAUAGCUCACUGGUCGAGUCGGCCUGCGCGGAAGAUGUAACGGGGCUAAACCAUGCACCGAAGCUGCGGCAGCGACGCUUAUGCGUUGUUGGGUAGGGGAGCGUUCUGUAAGCCUGCGAAGGUGGCCUGUGAGGGUUGCUGGAGGUAUCAGAAGUGCGAAUGCUGACAUAAGUAACGAUAAAGCGGGUGAAAAGCCCGCUCGCCGGAAGACCAAGGGUUCCUGUCCAACGUUAAUCGGGGCAGGGUGAGUCGACCCCUAAGGCGAGGCCGAAAGGCGUAGUCGAUGGGAAACGGGUUAAUAUUCCCGUACUUGGUGUUACUGCGAAGGGGGGACGGAGAAGGCUAUGUUGGCCGGGCGACGGUUGUCCCGGUUUAAGCGUGUAGGUGUGUGUUCCAGGUAAAUCCGGUUCACUUUAACACUGAGGCGUGACGACGAGGCACUACGGUGCUGAAGCAACAAAUGCCCUGCUUCCAGGAAAAGCCUCUAAGCAUCAGGUAACAUCAAAUCGUACCCCAAACCGACACAGGUGGUCAGGUAGAGAAUACCAAGGCGCUUGAGAGAACUCGGGUGAAGGAACUAGGCAAAAUGGUGCCGUAACUUCGGGAGAAGGCACGCUGACACGUAGGUGAAGUGAUUUACUCAUGGAGCUGAAGUCAGUCGAAGAUACCAGCUGGCUGCAACUGUUUAUUAAAAACACAGCACUGUGCAAACACGAAAGUGGACGUAUACGGUGUGACGCCUGCCCGGUGCCGGAAGGUUAAUUGAUGGGGUCAGCGCAAGCGAAGCUCCUGAUCGAAGCCCCGGUAAACGGCGGCCGUAACUAUAACGGUCCUAAGGUAGCGAAAUUCCUUGUCGGGUAAGUUCCGACCUGCACGAAUGGCGUAAUGAUGGCCAGGCUGUCUCCACCCGAGACUCAGUGAAAUUGAACUCGCUGUGAAGAUGCAGUGUACCCGCGGCAAGACGGAAAGACCCCGUGAACCUUUACUAUAGCUUGACACUGAACAUUGAGCCUUGAUGUGUAGGAUAGGUGGGAGGCUUUGAAGCGUGGACGCCAGUCUGCGUGGAGCCGACCUUGAAAUACCACCCUUUAAUGUUUGAUGUUCUAACGUGGACCCGUAAUCCGGGUUGCGGACAGUGUCUGGUGGGUAGUUUGACUGGGGCGGUCUCCUCCUAAAGAGUAACGGAGGAGCACGAAGGUUGGCUAAUCCUGGUCGGACAUCAGGAGGUUAGUGCAAUGGCAUAAGCCAGCUUGACUGCGAGCGUGACGGCGCGAGCAGGUGCGAAAGCAGGUCAUAGUGAUCCGGUGGUUCUGAAUGGAAGGGCCAUCGCUCAACGGAUAAAAGGUACUCCGGGGAUAACAGGCUGAUACCGCCCAAGAGUUCAUAUCGACGGCGGUGUUUGGCACCUCGAUGUCGGCUCAUCACAUCCUGGGGCUGAAGUAGGUCCCAAGGGUAUGGCUGUUCGCCAUUUAAAGUGGUACGCGAGCUGGGUUUAGAACGUCGUGAGACAGUUCGGUCCCUAUCUGCCGUGGGCGCUGGAGAACUGAGGGGGGCUGCUCCUAGUACGAGAGGACCGGAGUGGACGCAUCACUGGUGUUCGGGUUGUCAUGCCAAUGGCACUGCCCGGUAGCUAAAUGCGGAAGAGAUAAGUGCUGAAAGCAUCUAAGCACGAAACUUGCCCCGAGAUGAGUUCUCCCUGAGACUUAGAGUCUCCUGAAGGAACGUUGAAGACGACGACGUUGAUAGGCCGGGUGUGUAAGCGCAGCGAUGCGUUGAGCUAACCGGUACUAAUGAACCGUGAGGCUUAACCUUACAACGCCGAAG
RNAcentral lists this ribosomal RNA (2929 nucleotides) under Salmonella enterica subsp. enterica serovar Heidelberg. RNAcentral describes it as "bacterial LSU rRNA". It matches the Rfam family "Bacterial large subunit ribosomal RNA". The record is from RNAcentral. RNAcentral also lists the same sequence under 5 other names. Lineage: Bacteria; Pseudomonadati; Pseudomonadota; Gammaproteobacteria; Enterobacterales; Enterobacteriaceae.